RNAcentral lists this ribosomal RNA (477 nucleotides) under uncultured bacterium. RNAcentral's name for it is "bacterial SSU rRNA". It matches the Rfam family "Bacterial small subunit ribosomal RNA", at positions 28 to 516 of the family's 1533-position model. The record is from RNAcentral.
GACGAACGCUGGCGGCGUGCUUAACACAUGCAAGUCGAACGAGGUCCACUGCGUAGCAAUACAAGGGAAGACCUAGUGGCGAACGGGUGCGUAACACGUGAGGAACUUGUCCCGGUCUCUGGGAUAACAGUUGGAAACGACUGCUAAUACCGGAUGACGUCGGAAUCUCGCAUGGGAUACUGACGAAAGGGUUACUGGAUCGGGAGAGCCUCGCGGCCUAUCAGCUUGUUGGUGAGGUAACGGCUCACCAAGGCAUCGACGGGUAGCUGGUCUGAGAGGAUGAUCAGCCACACUGGGACUGAGACACGGCCCAGACUCCUACGGGAGGCAGCAGUGGGGAAUCUUGCGCAAUGGGCGAAAGCCUGACGCAGCAACGCCGCGUGCGGGAGGAAGGCCCUCGGGUUGUAAACCGCUUUCAGUAGGAACGAAAUGACGGUACCUGCAGAAGAAGGUGCGGCCAACUACGUGCCAGCAGCC